CGUAUUUCUAGGACACUUUUCACCUCUGACCUCCGCAGCUGUCUUCUCUUCUGGGGAUCUCUUAUCUCCAGAUUGCAGCGUCUGCACCUCAGAGGCUCACAAAAGUCUUCGUCUGUACCUGAGAUCACAUAGAAUCAGGAGCCAAACUCUAGCACCUGCAGCCUAAAAACCCUUUAAGACUUCAGUUUUCUAAGACAAAGUGACUGCCUAUGACGUGAGAUUUUUCAUGGAUGCUAGGACUGCUCUGAUACCUUCCCGGCCCCUCCUCCAACUGGCUUAUGCCUGGAGUUCCACCUGUAGAGAUGCAUCCUUCAGGAGAGGAGGAAUUUACCUAGACUGUUCAGGCAGGCUUCGGGUCUCCAGGAACUCUUGAAACUAUACUCAAAGGAAUGGAAUCAUAUAGUGGGCAGCAGAGACGGCGAGAUUUUAAUCUCAAGCAAAGAGGAGCUUUUUAGAGAUGAAACUUCUUUAAAGCAUCUUAAGGCAAAUGGGGCAGUUGAUAAAGGAAGCUUGUGCUAUAAAAACCGCCAUGGAUAAUGGAACUUCGGCAGGUAUGGUAUUUCCACACAUACUCCCUAAAAUGAACACCAGAUAUGUCACAUCUCUACUGUAAACCUUCAGUGGUUUCCCGUUGUCUUUAGGAUAAAAUCCAGACUCUUCAUGUGGCUUGCCAGGCCCUGUGUGAUGUGACACCUACUGCCUCCUCUAGCCCUGCCUCUCCCCAUUCUCUUCCUCAUUCUCCGCUUCAAAACCUAGGUGCUGGCUACUCUGCUCUGGUGUUUCUGUGUAAAGUGCCCUCUCUCUCACUGCUGGGCCUCUGUGCAUGAUUUUCUUUCUAUCAAGAACAUUUUCCUCUGACCCCUACCUCUUUGGCUUCAGACUUUGAUUUCUUGUGGAAGCGCUUCCUGACCUUCCCAGUUUGGCUUACACACCAUUCUUGUGGGCUCCAACACUUGCACUUCCCCCAUUUCAGUGCUUCUGAACUACACUGUAAUUGCGUGUUUCCUUGUAUGUCUCAACUAGACUUUCAACUCCAUGAAGCUCCAGGGGAACAGAAGCCAAGUCUGUCUCACUUGUACUUGUAUUUUUAGCACCUCGCAUGGAGCCUGGCACAGGGUGGCUUCUCAACAAUUACACUUUAAAUUGAGAUUGAGUCAAAGAAACAAAC
This 1168-nucleotide long non-coding RNA is filed under the name Equus caballus (horse). Its description in RNAcentral is "lncRNA (ENSECAG00000036062.3)". The record is from RNAcentral. Lineage: Eukaryota; Metazoa; Chordata; Mammalia; Perissodactyla; Equidae.